This 481-nucleotide ribosomal RNA is filed under the name uncultured bacterium. RNAcentral's name for it is "bacterial SSU rRNA". It matches the Rfam family "Bacterial small subunit ribosomal RNA", at positions 31 to 507 of the family's 1533-position model. The record is from RNAcentral.
GAACGCUGGCGGCAGGCCUAACACAUGCAAGUCGAGCGGUAGAGAGGUGCUUGCAUCUCUUGAGAGCGGCGGACGGGUGAGUAAUGCCUAGGAAUCUGCCUAGUGGUGGGGGAUAACGUUCGGAAACGGACGCUAAUACCGCAUACGUCCUACGGGAGAAANCGGGGGAUCUUCGGACCUCGCGCCAUUAGAUGAGCCUAGGUCGGAUUAGCUAGUUGGUGAGGUAAUGGCUCACCAAGGCGACGAUCCGUAACUGGUCUGAGAGGAUGAUCAGUCACACUGGAACUGAGACACGGUCCAGACUCCUACGGGAGGCAGCAGUGGGGAAUAUUGGACAAUGGGCGAAAGCCUGAUCCAGCCAUGCCGCGUGUGUGAAGAAGGUCUUCGGAUUGUAAAGCACUUUAAGUUGGGAGGAAGGGUAGUAACCUAAUACGUUGCUACUUUGACGUUACCGACAGAAUAAGCACCGGCUAACUUCGUG